GCCUAACACAUGCAAGUCGAGGGGCAGCACUGGCGAGUAGCAAUACUUGCCUGGUGGCGACCGGCGGAUGGGUGAGUAACACGUAUGCAACCUGCCUACAACAAGGGCAUAACUCCGGGAAAUCGGUGCUAAUUCCCUAUAACACAGGGGCCCCGCAUGGGGAUAUUUGUUAAAGAUUAAUCGGUUGUAGAUGGGCAUGCGUUCCAUUAGCUAGUUGGUGAGGUAAUGGCUCACCAAGGCAACGAUGGAUAGGGGAACUGAGAGGUUUAUCCCCCACACUGGUACUGAGACACGGACCAGACUCCUACGGGAGGCAGCAGUGAGGAAUAUUGGUCAAUGAGCGCGAGCUUGAACCAGCCACGUCGCGUGCAGGAAGACGGUCCUAUGGAUUGUAAACUGCUUUUACACAGGAAUAAAGUGAGAUACGGGAUAUUUUAUUGCAAGUACUGUGAGAAUAAGGAUCGGCUAACUCCGUGCCAGCAGCCGCGGUAAUACGGAGGAUCCGAGCGUUAUCCGGAUUUAUUGGGUUUAAAGGGUGCGUAGGCGGACUAGUAAGUCAGCGGUGAAAUUUUGCAGCUUAACUGUAAACGUGCCGUUGAAACUGUUAGUCUUGAGUGUAGAUAAGGUAGGCGGAAUGUGUUGUGUAGCGGUGAAAUGCAUAGAUAUGACACAGAACACCGAUUGCGAAGGCAGCACACUAAGUCAUUAUUGACGCUGAGGCACGAAAGUGUGGGGAUCAAACAGGGUUAGAAUACCCUGGUAGUUCCACACCGUAAACGAGGAUAACUCGCUGUCGGCGAUACACAGUCGGUGGCCAAGCGAAAGCAUUAAGUUAUCCACCUGGGGAGUACGACCGCAAGGUUGAAACUCAAAGGAAUUGACGGGGGCCCGCACAAGCGGAGGAACAUGUGGUUUAAUUCGAUGAUACGCGAGGAACCUUACCCGGGCUCGAACGGUGCAUGAAUAUACGAGAGAUUGUAUAGUCCUUCGGGACAUGUAUCGAGGUGCUGCAUGGUUGUCGUCAGCUCGUGCCGUGAGGUGUCGGCUUAAGUGCCAUAACGAGCGCAACCCUUGUCAUUAGUUGCCAUCAGGUCAAGCUGGGGACUUUAAUGAGACUGCCACCGUAAGGUGUGAGGAAGGGGGGGGAUGACGUCAAAUCAGCACGGCCCUUAUGUCCGGGGCGACACACGUGUUACAAUGGGAGGUACAGAGGGCAGCUAUCCGGUGACGGAAUGCUAAUCUCCAAAACCUUUCUCAGUUCGGAUUGGAGUCUGCAACUCGACUCCAUGAAGGUGGAUUCGCUAGUAAUCGCGCAUCAGCCAUGGCGCGGUGAAUACGUUCCCGGG
This 1346-nucleotide ribosomal RNA is filed under the name uncultured bacterium. RNAcentral describes it as "bacterial SSU rRNA". It matches the Rfam family "Bacterial small subunit ribosomal RNA", at positions 46 to 1378 of the family's 1533-position model. The record is from RNAcentral.